Non-coding RNA from Salmo salar (Atlantic salmon), 58 nucleotides. NCBI's taxonomy places the organism in Eukaryota, Metazoa, Chordata, Actinopteri, Salmoniformes, Salmonidae. The record is from Rfam.
UAGCUCAUUUGGUAGAGCAUGGUGGUUAUAAUGCCAGGGUAGUGGGUUAAAUUCCCAC